This 83-nucleotide small RNA is filed under the name Klebsiella aerogenes. RNAcentral describes it as "partial RtT sRNA". It matches the Rfam family "RtT RNA", at positions 43 to 130 of the family's 130-position model. From Rfam's summary of the family: This family represents a bacterial cis-regulatory element known as RtT RNA. The exact function of RtT is unknown although it is thought that it may be involved in changing the cellular response in relation to amino acid starvation. The record is from RNAcentral. Lineage: Bacteria; Pseudomonadati; Pseudomonadota; Gammaproteobacteria; Enterobacterales; Enterobacteriaceae.
UCGCAAGCACCAGGGAGGAUAACGUUGCGUAAGCAACGGCCCGAAGGGCGAGGCGCAGCCGAGUCAUCCUCCCGGAUGCACCA